Molecule: transfer RNA, 64 nt
Filed under: marine eukaryotic metagenome
Rfam family: tRNA
About the family: Transfer RNA (tRNA) molecules are approximately 80 nucleotides in length. Their secondary structure includes four short double-helical elements and three loops (D, anti-codon, and T loops).
Source: RNAcentral
CCGUAGCUCAGAGGUAGAGCACCUGCAUGGUAAGCAGGUGGUCAUGGGUUCGAUUCCCAUCGGU